Dipodomys ordii (Ord's kangaroo rat) is the source of this 65-nucleotide non-coding RNA. NCBI's taxonomy places the organism in Eukaryota, Metazoa, Chordata, Mammalia, Rodentia, Heteromyidae. The record is from Rfam.
GGUGGCUCAGUGGUAGAGUGCUUGCCUUAUAAGCAUGAGGCCCUGGGUUCGAUUCCUCAGCACCA